This 468-nucleotide ribosomal RNA is filed under the name uncultured bacterium. Its description in RNAcentral is "partial 16S ribosomal RNA". It matches the Rfam family "Bacterial small subunit ribosomal RNA", at positions 28 to 507 of the family's 1533-position model. The record is from RNAcentral.
GACGAACGCUGGCGGCGUGCUUAACACAUGCAAGUCGAACGGAACGGCCCUGCUUUUUUGGGGUGCUCGAGUGGCGAACGGGUGAGUAACCCGUGAGUAACCUGCCCUUGACUUUGGGAUAACUUCAGGACACUGGAGCUAAUACCGGAUAGGAGCUCCUGCUUCAUGGUGGGGGUUGGAUAGUUUCGGCGGUUGGGGAUGGACUCGCGGCUUAUCAGCUUGUUUGUUGGGUAGUGUCUUAGCAUGGCCUUGAGGGGUAGCCGGGCUGGGAGGGUGAGCGGCCAAGCUGGGACGGGGAUGAGGCCCAGACUCGUACGGGAGGCAGCAGUGCGGAAUAGAGUACAAUGGGCGGAAGGCUAGUGUGGUCACGCCGCGUGGGGGGUGACGGGAAGCGGGUAGGGAAGCGCAUUCGCCUGUGACGAGGCGUGAGUGACGGUAAUGGGUAAAGAAGCACCGGCUAACUACGUG